GCCCAGGUAGCUCAGUUGGUAGAGCAGGGGAUUGAAAAUCCCCGUGUCGGCGGUUCGAUUCCGUCCCUGGGUACCA
RNAcentral lists this transfer RNA (76 nucleotides) under Pseudomonas aeruginosa BWHPSA027. Its description in RNAcentral is "tRNA-Phe". It matches the Rfam family "tRNA". Rfam says of the family: Transfer RNA (tRNA) molecules are approximately 80 nucleotides in length. Their secondary structure includes four short double-helical elements and three loops (D, anti-codon, and T loops). Further hydrogen bonds mediate the characteristic L-shaped molecular structure. tRNAs have two regions of fundamental functional importance: the anti-codon, which is responsible for specific mRNA codon recognition, and the 3' end, to which the tRNAs corresponding amino acid is attached (by aminoacyl-tRNA synthetases). tRNAs cope with the degeneracy of the genetic code in two manners: having more than one tRNA (with a specific anti-codon) for a particular amino acid; and 'wobble' base-pairing, i.e. permitting non-standard base-pairing at the 3rd anti-codon position. Lineage: Bacteria; Pseudomonadati; Pseudomonadota; Gammaproteobacteria; Pseudomonadales; Pseudomonadaceae. The record is from RNAcentral.